Molecule: non-coding RNA, 441 nt
Organism: Pelobates cultripes (western spadefoot toad)
Lineage: Eukaryota; Metazoa; Chordata; Amphibia; Anura; Pelobatidae
Source: the annotation of a GenBank genome assembly
UCGAAAUGCAUGCACAGCAUCAUGGGAGUUGUACUUCUACAACUUCUGGGGUGCUCCUUUUUUAACAACCCUGAUGUAAGGCACCUUCAUGUGGUAUUCUUGGUUCUCUGUGACUCUCCAUACGUUAUACUUUACAGGCAGUGACUGAAGAAUUAGGCAGCUGGAGCAGUCCUUAAUGAUCUAAUGUUCGCAUGCACAUUUUGAGCUUUAAGGGGCCCCAGAUAACCAUGUUUAUAACACUUUGGAGCAUAUUUUGGUAGUGAACAUAAAGCACAGUAAGUAGGUCUACAUCACUCAGGGCAGUAUUCUAUGACGUGUACAUUAGUGCCUGCUCAUUUUGAACUUGUUACCAUUCUACUUCUGCACUCCACUCACCGGCUCUUAUCCCUUUAAUCCAUAUACUCACUCACUGUUAUGGACAUAAUAUUAGCUUACUAAAAU